GUGGCUGUGCAGUGGUAGUGUCAUAGCUCAUGAGUUUUAUCUGAGGUGUGAUUAUUGCUAGUUGAAAACUUUACCCAAUACCCUGCCUUGUUCACUUGAAAUAUAGUCAGCUAUGGCAAUUUUUGAUAGUCUCCACUGAAC
Small nuclear RNA from Nerophis ophidion (straightnose pipefish), 141 nucleotides. RefSeq annotates it as U4 spliceosomal RNA. The record is from RefSeq and is a predicted model, not a curated record. The transcript has a single exon. Lineage: Eukaryota; Metazoa; Chordata; Actinopteri; Syngnathiformes; Syngnathidae.